GGUGGCGUCCGCGGCGGAGGU
Molecule: non-coding RNA, 21 nt
Filed under: Arabidopsis thaliana (thale cress)
Lineage: Eukaryota; Viridiplantae; Streptophyta; Magnoliopsida; Brassicales; Brassicaceae
Source: RNAcentral